GGAAAUAUAUUCUUAUUAUAUUGUUGAGUUUAUGUUUAUUAAUAGAAAUAACUUUAUUUUGAGUAAGUUUUAUUGAAAUAAUUAUUUGUAUUGUAGUGAAUAGUACCGUAAGGGAUUGAAUUAUUUUUGUUUAAAAGUAGUUUUAAUUUGAUGUACCUUUUGUAUCAGGGUUGAUUUAAUUAUCAUAUUUAUAUAGGUUUCCCGAAACUAAAGGAGCUAUAGUUUAGAUGUUAGUUAAUGUAUCAAAAUUAUUGAUGAUUUAAUUAUGGUAAUGAAAUGUUAUUCGUUUUUAGAUAUCUGGUUUUCUUGGAAUUAAAUUUAAUUUAGGAUUGUUUAUAACUUAGUUGGGAAUUUUAUUCCUUUUGUUUGAGACUAUCUAGUAUUCUUGGGGAUAAGCUCGAGAAUAGUUUUAUAAGUUGUUUAUGUGCUAGGGUCUUGUAGGCUUGAAAUCAGCCAUCACUCAUCCCGUUAUAGGGUACCCCUAUAUUAUAUUUAUUUAGUUUUCUUUAUUUUUUUACUUGAAUAAUUUGAUUAAUUAUGAUUUUUUUGUAAUAAUGAUUAAAUUAGUAUCUUAUUGAAUUAAAUUAUAGGAACUCGGCAAAUUUAGUGUUCGCCUGUUUAACAAAAACAUGUCCUUUUGUUUAUUUAUUUAAGGUCUGACCUGCCCAAUGAGGAAUUCAAUGGCCGCAGUAUUCUAACUGUGCUAAGGUAGCAUAAUCAUUUGUCUUUUAAUUGAGGGCUGGAAUGAAAGGUUGGACGAGAUAUUAGCUUUCUUUAUUUUAAUUUAGGGAAUUUAAUUUUUAAGUCAAAAAGCUUAAAUAUGUUUGUAGGACGAGAAGACCCUAUAGAUCUUUAUAAUCUUAUAUUUUGGUAAUGUGGGGAUUUCUUUGCUUGGAGUAAAUUGAUUAUUUUGUUGGGGUGACUAUAGAAUUUUAAUAACUUCUGUUUAUUUAUAUCAUUUAUUGGUGUUAUUUUUGAUCCGCGUAAUGUUGCGAUUAUAAGAUUAAGUUACCUUAGGGAUAACAGCGUAAUUUUUUCGGAGAGUUCAUAUUGAUGAAGGAGUUUGCGACCUCGAUGUUGGAUUAAAGUAAGUUUUAGAUGUAGGAGUCUAUAUACUAGGUCUGUUCGACCUUUAAAUUUUUACAUGAUCUGAGUUCAGACCGGCGUAAGCCAGGUCAGUUUCUAUCCUCAAUUAGUUUAUGUAUUUUAGUACGAAAGGACCGGAUGCAUGGAAUAAUUUUUUUAAUUUGAUUAAUAUU
RNAcentral lists this ribosomal RNA (1259 nucleotides) under Panstrongylus rufotuberculatus. Its description in RNAcentral is "16S ribosomal RNA". The stretch from base 566 to 1259 matches the Rfam family "Archaeal large subunit ribosomal RNA", at positions 1423 to 2803 of the family's 2987-position model. Lineage: Eukaryota; Metazoa; Arthropoda; Insecta; Hemiptera; Reduviidae. The record is from RNAcentral.